UAGUCUUUGUCUUUGUAUCUUCUAACAACGAAACACUACUAA
RNAcentral lists this small RNA (42 nucleotides) under Arabidopsis thaliana (thale cress). RNAcentral describes it as "ATSL034130". Lineage: Eukaryota; Viridiplantae; Streptophyta; Magnoliopsida; Brassicales; Brassicaceae. The record is from RNAcentral.